GAUAGAGGGUGCAAACGUUGCUCGGAAUUACUGGGCGUAAAGCGCGUGUAGGUGGAUUGGUGUGUCAGAUGUGAAAGCCCUGGGCUCAACCCAGGAACAGCACCUGAAACUACCAGUCUUGAGUGGUGGAGAGGGAAGUGGAAUUCCUGGUGUAGAGGUGAAAUUCGUAGAUAUCAGGAGGAACACCAGUGGCGAAGGCGGCUUCCUGGACACCAACUGACGCUGAGACGCGAAAGCGUGGGGAGCAAACGGG
RNAcentral lists this ribosomal RNA (253 nucleotides) under uncultured bacterium. RNAcentral's name for it is "partial 16S ribosomal RNA". It matches the Rfam family "Bacterial small subunit ribosomal RNA", at positions 524 to 776 of the family's 1533-position model. The record is from RNAcentral.